Molecule: ribosomal RNA, 468 nt
Filed under: uncultured bacterium
Lineage: Bacteria
Description: partial 16S ribosomal RNA
Rfam family: Bacterial small subunit ribosomal RNA
Source: RNAcentral
GACGAACGCUGGCGGUGGGCUUAACACAUGCAAGUCGAACGGAAAGGCCCUGCGUUUUUGGUGUUCUCGAGUGGCGAACGGGUGAGUAACACGUGAGUAACCUGCUCUUGACUUUGGGAUAACUUCAGGAAACUGGGGCUAAUACCGUAUAGGAUCUCCUGCUGCAUGGUAGGGGUUGGAAAUUUUCGGCUGUUGGGGAUGGACUCGCGGCUUAUCAGCUUGUUGGUGGGGUAGUGGCUGACCAAGGCUUUGACGGGUAGCCGGCCUGAGAGGGUGACCGGCCACCUUGGGACUGAGAUACGGCGCAGACUGCAACGGGAGGCAGUAGUGGGAAAUAUUGCCCAAUGGGCGGAAGCCUGAUGAAGCAACGCCGCGUGCGGGAUGACGGCCUUCGGGGUGUAAACCGCUUUCGGCUGUGACGAAGCGUGAGUGACGGUAAUGGGUAAAGAAGCACCGGCUAACUACGUG